This 329-nucleotide long non-coding RNA is filed under the name Homo sapiens (human). RNAcentral describes it as "HSALNT0238837". The record is from RNAcentral. Lineage: Eukaryota; Metazoa; Chordata; Mammalia; Primates; Hominidae.
UUAUACACUGUGGAUAUUGAUUCCUUAUCAGAGCUAUGAUUUGAAAAUAUUUUCUCCCAUUCUAUAGGUUGCUUUUUUCACUCUGUUGAUUAUACUCUUUGACACACCCAUGGAGAAGAUUUUAAAGGGCAGGUAGAAGUCAGACAGUUUGAGCAGCAGCGUAGUGAAGAGAAGGCCUUUCAAUCGAAGGAAAUAGUCUGUGCAAACACACAGAGGAGAGAACCGCAACAUGCAGGGACAGGGCUUCACCGUGUUGAAUCCUGACCAGACUGUCAGGCUCGUCUCAAACUCCUGGUCUCAAGCCAUCCACCCGCCUCAGCUUCCCAAAG